UGGUGGUAUAUUAAACGGUCACUGCAGUGGUGGGGGUUUUCGUGGACUGGCUAUGAGAGGGGCAUUGUAACCUAAUUAUAUACCUACCUCCGGGGGGAGAUGUUGGAUGAAGUAUCUCCUGAGGUAAGAUUUGAGUGCACCUCACGUUCGGGCCACCACAUGAGAGUGAGACUCAGCCAACGCCAAGGAACGGCUGUGUGUCAGAUGUGAAAACAUGUUUAUGGGUAUGGG
Molecule: long non-coding RNA, 231 nt
Filed under: Theobroma cacao (cacao)
Lineage: Eukaryota; Viridiplantae; Streptophyta; Magnoliopsida; Malvales; Malvaceae
Description: long non-coding RNA (TCAC_LNC005218)
Source: RNAcentral